AGCAGCCGCGGUAAUUCCAGCUCCAAUAGCGUAUAUUAAAGUUGUUGCAGUUAAAAAGCUCGUAGUUGAAUUUCGGGAUCAGUAGGUCGGUCGUGCCACUGGUAUGCACUGGCCUCACUGGUUCCUCCUUCCUGAUGGACCGUAAUGCCAUUAAUUUGGUGUUGCGGGGAAACUGGACUGUUACUUUGAAAAAAUUAGAGUGUUUAAAGCAGGCUAACGCUUGAAUACAUUAGCAUGGAAUAAUGAAAUAGGACGAUCGAUCCUAUUUUGUUGGUUUCUAGGAUUGACGUAAUGAUUAAUAGGGAUAGUUGGGGGCAUUAGUAUUCAAUUGUCAGAGGUGAAAUUCUUGGAUUUAUUGAAGACUAACUACUGCGAAAGCAUUUGCCAAGGAUGUUUUCAUUAAUCAAGAACGAAAGUUAGGGGAUCGAAGACGAUCAGAUACCGUCGUAGUCUUAACCAUAAACUAUGCCGACUAGGGAUCGGAUGAUGUUAAUUUUUAAUGUACUCAUUCGGCGUCCG
Molecule: ribosomal RNA, 519 nt
Filed under: uncultured Glomus
Lineage: Eukaryota; Fungi; Glomeromycota; Glomeromycetes; Glomerales; Glomeraceae
Description: SSU rRNA
Rfam family: Eukaryotic small subunit ribosomal RNA
Source: RNAcentral